CACUGAAUAGGAUAACCAGUGGGGUGGGAGAUGAUAGCAAUUUUUAAAGGAGUGGGUUUAAAUAGACGGACAGUGUGAACUUCAAAAGAAGAAAAGGAUAGGGCAGGGGGAGUUAUGAUUGGUUGAAUGGUACAUUGAGGGAAGAAGAGGAUGCCUACGCCGCCUCCUUUACAGUUGAGUCUGGAAGUGUGAGAGAAUUGUAGCCCACCAAAACAUAAAGAGGCAGGAGUAGCACUAUCAGAGGGGGACAGCCAGGUCUCUGUAAGUGCAAGCAGUGUGAG
Pelobates cultripes (western spadefoot toad) is the source of this 281-nucleotide non-coding RNA. The record is from the annotation of a GenBank genome assembly. NCBI's taxonomy places the organism in Eukaryota, Metazoa, Chordata, Amphibia, Anura, Pelobatidae.